UUUGGUCGCCAACGAGUGGCGGACGGGUGAGUAACACGUAGGUAACCUGCCCAGAAGCGGGGGACAACAUUUGGAAACAGAUGCUAAUACCGCAUAACAGCGUUGUUCGCAUGAACAACGCUUAAAAGAUGGCUUCUCGCUAUCACUUCUGGAUGGACCUGCGGUGCAUUAGCUUGUUGGUGGGGUAACGGCCUACCAAGGCGAUGAUGCAUAGCCGAGUUGAGAGACUGAUCGGCCACAAUGGGACUGAGACACGGCCCAUACUCCUACGGGAGGCAGCAGUAGGGAAUCUUCCACAAUGGGCGCAAGCCUGAUGGAGCAACACCGCGUGAGUGAAGAAGGGUUUCGGCUCGUAAAGCUCUGUUGUUAAAGAAGAACACGUAUGAGAGUAACUGUUCAUACGUUGACGGUAUUUAACCAGAAAGUCACGGCUAACUACGUGCCAGCAGCCGCGGUAAUACGUAGGUGGCAAGCGUUAUCCGGAUUUAUUGGGCGUAAAGAGAGUGCAGGCGGUUUUCUAAGUCUGAUGUGAAAGCCUUCGGCUUAACCGGAGAAGUGCAUCGGAAACUGGAUAACUUGAGUGCAGAAGAGGGUAGUGGAACUCCAUGUGUAGCGGUGGAAUGCGUAGAUAUAUGGAAGAACACCAGUGGCGAAGGCGGCUACCUGGUCUGCAACUGACGCUGAGACUCGAAAGCAUGGGUAGCGAACAGGAUUAGAUACCCUGGUAGUCCAUGCCGUAAACGAUGAGUGCUAGGUGUUGGAGGGUUUCCGCCCUUCAGUGCCGGAGCUAACGCAUUAAGCACUCCGCCUGGGGAGUACGACCGCAAGGUUGAAACUCAAAGGAAUUGACGGGGGCCCGCACAAGCGGUGGAGCAUGUGGUUUAAUUCGAAGCUACGCGAAGAACCUUACCAGGUCUUGACAUCUUGCGCCAACCCUAGAGAUAGGGCGUUUCCUUCGGGAACGCAAUGACAGGUGGUGCAUGGUCGUCGUCAGCUCGUGUCGUGAGAUGUUGGGUUAAGUCCCGCAACGAGCGCAACCCUUGUUACUAGUUGCCAGCAUUAAGUUGGGCACUCUAGUGAGACUGCCGGUGACAAACCGGAGGAAGGUGGGGACGACGUCAGAUCAUCAUGCCCCUUAUGACCUGGGCUACACACGUGCUACAAUGGACGGUACAACGAGUCGCGAACUCGCGAGGGCAAGCAAAUCUCUUAAAACCGUUCUCAGUUCGGACUGCAGGCUGCAACUCGCCUGCACGAAGUCGGAAUCGCUAGUAAUCGCGGAUCAGCAUGCCGCGGUGAAUACGUUCCCGGGCCUUGUACACACCGCCCGUCACACCAUGAGAGUUUGUAACACCCAAAGUCGGUGGGGUAACCUUUUAGGAGCCAGCCGCCUAA
This 1395-nucleotide ribosomal RNA is filed under the name Limosilactobacillus fermentum. RNAcentral's name for it is "Lactobacillus fermentum 16S ribosomal RNA". It matches the Rfam family "Bacterial small subunit ribosomal RNA". The record is from RNAcentral. Lineage: Bacteria; Bacillati; Bacillota; Bacilli; Lactobacillales; Lactobacillaceae.